This 343-nucleotide unclassified non-coding RNA is filed under the name Klebsiella pneumoniae subsp. pneumoniae. RNAcentral's name for it is "partial 16S-23S ribosomal RNA intergenic spacer". The stretch from base 239 to 336 matches the Rfam family "Salmonella enterica Typhi npcRNA 44". The record is from RNAcentral. Lineage: Bacteria; Pseudomonadati; Pseudomonadota; Gammaproteobacteria; Enterobacterales; Enterobacteriaceae.
CCUUAAAGAACCUGCCUUUGUAGUGCUCACACAGAUUGUCUGAUGAACGUAAAGAAGCAAGGCGUCUUGCGAUUGAGACUUCAGUGUCCCCUUCGUCUAGAGGCCCAGGACACCGCCCUUUCACGGCGGUAACAGGGGUUCGAAUCCCCUAGGGGACGCCACUUGCUGGUUCGUGAGUGAAAGACGCGUGCCGAUGUAUCUCAAAACUCAUCUUCGGGUGACGUUUGAGAUAUUUGCUCUUUAAAAAUCUGGAUCAAGCUGAAAAUUGAAACGACACACAGUCAAUGUGUGUUCGAGUCUCUCAAAUUUUCGCAAUCAGAAGUGAAACAUCUUCGGGUUGUGA